This 250-nucleotide ribosomal RNA is filed under the name uncultured bacterium. Its description in RNAcentral is "partial 16S ribosomal RNA". It matches the Rfam family "Bacterial small subunit ribosomal RNA", at positions 524 to 773 of the family's 1533-position model. The record is from RNAcentral.
UACGGAGGGUGCAAGCGUUAUCCGGAUUUACUGGGUUUAAAGGGAGCGUAGGCGGGCUUGUAAGUCCGGGGUGAAAUCUCUGAGCUUAACUCAGAAACUGCCUUGGAUACUAUGAGUCUUGAAUGUCGUUGAGGUUUGCGGAAUAUGUCAUGUAGCGGUGAAAUGCUUAGAUAUGACAUAGAACACCUAUUGCGAAGGCAGCAGGCUAAACGAAAAUUGACGCUGAGGCUCGAAAGCGUGGGGAUCAAAC